Non-coding RNA from Mus caroli (Ryukyu mouse), 953 nucleotides. The record is from RefSeq and is a predicted model, not a curated record. NCBI's taxonomy places the organism in Eukaryota, Metazoa, Chordata, Mammalia, Rodentia, Muridae.
AUGAGCAAAAGUGGCGAGCAGAACUACGGAAUCCCAUUCUGCUUCCCGAAGUGGAAGUGCACACGGAUCCGGGAAAUCUGCACUGCAUAUACCUGCAAGGUCUCCCUCCAAGGAAGACUCAACACGUUCUAGAUCAAAGUCGAGGUCCAGAUCUGAAUCUAGGUCUAGAUCCAGAAGAAGUUCUAGAAGGCAUUAUACAAGGUCACGAUCACGAUCUAGCUCGCAUAGACGAUCCCAGAGCAGGUCUUACAGCCGAGAUUAUCGCAGGCGCCACAGCCACAGCCAUUCUCCCAGGUCUACACGAAGGCAUCGUGUUGGGAACCGGGCAAAUCCUGACCCCAACUGUUGUCUUGGUGUGUUUGGGUUGAGCUUAUACACCACAGAAAGAGACCUAAGAGAAGUGUUCUCUAAAUAUGGCCCCAUUGCUGAUGUGUCUAUUGUAUAUGACCAGCAAUUCAAAUCAAGAGGAUUUGCCUUUGUAUAUUUUGUAUUUUUUGUAUAUUUGAAAAUGUAGACGAUGCCAAGGAAGCUAAAGAACGUGCCAAUGGACUGGAGCUUGAUGGGUGAUGAAUUAGAGUCGAUUUCUCUAUAACAAAAAGGCCCCAUACCUCAACACCAGGAAUUUAUAUGGGGAGACCCACUUAUGGCAGUUCACACGGCCGAGACUAUUAUGACAGAGCCUAUGACGGGGGUAUGAUGACAGCAUGACUAUUACAGCAGAUCAUACAGAGGAGGAGGUGGUGGAGGAGGUGGGUGGAGAGCAGCUCAAGACAGGGAUGAGAUAUACAGAAGACGGUCACCUUCUUACUACAGUCGUGGAGGAUACAGGUCACGUUCUCCAUCACGACCCUACUCACCUCGUCGCUACUAAAGCAUGAAGUUGAAGACUUUCUGAAACCUGCCACAGAGCUGGGAUAUUGUUUGUGGACAAUAUUUUCUAUUGUCUCCUGUUU